This 460-nucleotide ribosomal RNA is filed under the name uncultured bacterium. Its description in RNAcentral is "partial 16S ribosomal RNA". It matches the Rfam family "Bacterial small subunit ribosomal RNA", at positions 338 to 795 of the family's 1533-position model. The record is from RNAcentral.
CCUACGGGAGGCAGCAGUGAGGAAUAUUGGUCAAUGGACGAGAGUCUGAACCAGCCACGUAGCGUGAGGGAUGACUGCCCUAUGGUUUGUAAGCUUCUUUUAUAUGGGAAUAAAAUGUUCCACGUGUGGGAUUUUGUCUGUACCAUAUGAAUACGGAUCGGCUACCUCCGUGCCAGCAGCCUCGGUAAUACGGAGGAUCCGAGCGUUAUCCGGAUUUAUUGGGUUUAAAGGGAGCGUAGGUGGAUUGUUAAGUCAGUUGUGAAAGUUUGCGGCUCAACCGGAAAAUUGCAGUUGAAACUGGCAGUCUUGAGUACAGUAGAGGUGAGCGGAAUUCGUGGUGUAGCGGUGAAAUGCUUAGAUAUCACGAAGAACUCCGAUUGCGAAGGCAGUUCACUGGACUGCAACUGACACGGAGGCUCGAAAGUGUGGGUAUCAAACAGGAUUAGAUACCCGGGUAGUC